Molecule: ribosomal RNA, 2908 nt
Filed under: Escherichia coli
Lineage: Bacteria; Pseudomonadati; Pseudomonadota; Gammaproteobacteria; Enterobacterales; Enterobacteriaceae
Description: 23S ribosomal RNA
Rfam family: Bacterial large subunit ribosomal RNA
Source: RNAcentral
GGUUAAGCGACUAAGCGUACACGGUGGAUGCCCUGGCAGUCAGAGGCGAUGAAGGACGUGCUAAUCUGCGAUAAGCGUCGGUAAGGUGAUAUGAACCGUUAUAACCGGCGAUUUCCGAAUGGGGAAACCCAGUGUGUUUCGACACACUAUCAUUAACUGAAUCCAUAGGUUAAUGAGGCGAACCGGGGGAACUGAAACAUCUAAGUACCCCGAGGAAAAGAAAUCAACCGAGAUUCCCCCAGUAGCGGCGAGCGAACGGGGAGCAGCCCAGAGCCUGAAUCAGUGUGUGUGUUAGUGGAAGCGUCUGGAAAGGCGCGCGAUACAGGGUGACAGCCCCGUACACAAAAAUGCACAUGCUGUGAGCUCGAUGAGUAGGGCGGGACACGUGGUAUCCUGUCUGAAUAUGGGGGGACCAUCCUCCAAGGCUAAAUACUCCUGACUGACCGAUAGUGAACCAGUACCGUGAGGGAAAGGCGAAAAGAACCCCGGCGAGGGGAGGGAAAAAGAACCUGAAACCGUGUACGUACAAGCAGUGGGAGCACGCUUAGGCGUGUGACUGCGUACCUUUUGUAUAAUGGGUCAGCGACUUAUAUUCUGUAGCAAGGUUAACCGAAUAGGGAGCCGAAGGGAAACCGAGUCUUAACUGGGCGUUAAGUUGCAGGGUAUAGACCCGAAACCCGGUGAUCUAGCCAUGGGCAGGUUGAAGGUUGGGUAACACUAACUGGAGGACCGAACCGACUAAUGUUGAAAAAUUAGCGGAUGACUUGUGGCUGGGGGUGAAAGGCCAAUCAAACCGGGAGAUAGCUGGUUCUCCCCGAAAGCUAUUUAGGUAGCGCCUCGUGAAUUCAUCUCCGGGGGUAGAGCACUGUUUCGGCAAGGGGGUCAUCCCGACUUACCAACCCGAUGCAAACUGCGAAUACCGGAGAAUGUUAUCACGGGAGACACACGGCGGGUGCUAACGUCCGUCGUGAAGAGGGAAACAACCCAGACCGCCAGCUAAGGUCCCAAAGUCAUGGUUAAGUGGGAAACGAUGUGGGAAGGCCCAGACAGCCAGGAUGUUGGCUUAGAAGCAGCCAUCAUUUAAAGAAAGCGUAAUAGCUCACUGGUCGAGUCGGCCUGCGCGGAAGAUGUAACGGGGCUAAACCAUGCACCGAAGCUGCGGCAGCGACACUUAUGUGUUGUUGGGUAGGGGAGCGUUCUGUAAGCCUGUGAAGGUGUGCUGUGAGGCAUGCUGGAGGUAUCAGAAGUGCGAAUGCUGACAUAAGUAACGAUAAAGCGGGUGAAAAGCCCGCUCGCCGGAAGACCAAGGGUUCCUGUCCAACGUUAAUCGGGGCAGGGUGAGUCGACCCCAAGGCGAGGCCGAAAGGCGUAGUCGAUGGGAAACAGGUUAAUAUUCCUGUACUUGGUGUUACUGCGAAGGGGGGACGGAGAAGGCUAUGUUGGCCGGGCGACGGUUGUCCCGGUUUAAGCGUGUAGGCUGGUUUUCCAGGCAAAUCCGGAAAAUCAAGGCUGAGGCGUGAUGACGAGGCACUACGGUGCUGAAGCAACAAAUGCCCUGCUUCCAGGAAAAGCCUCUAAGCAUCAGGUAACAUCAAAUCGUACCCCAAACCGACACAGGUGGUCAGGUAGAGAAUACCAAGGCGCUUGAGAGAACUCGGGUGAAGGAACUAGGCAAAAUGGUGCCGUAACUUCGGGAGAAGGCACGCUGAUAUGUAGGUGAGGUCCACUCGCGCGAUGGAGCUGAAAUCAGUCGAAGAUACCAGCUGGCUGCAACUGUUUAUUAAAAACACAGCACUGUGCAAACACGAAAGUGGACGUAUACGGUGUGACGCCUGCCCGGUGCCGGAAGGUUAAUUGAUGGGGUCAGCGCUAACGCGAAGCUCUUGAUCGAAGCCCCGGUAAACGGCGGCCGUAACUAUAACGGUCCUAAGGUAGCGAAAUUCCUUGUCGGGUAAGUUCCGACCUGCACGAAUGGCGUAAUGAUGGCCAGGCUGUCUCCACCCGAGACUCAGUGAAAUUGAACUCGCUGUGAAGAUGCAGUGUACCCGCGGCAAGACGGAAAGACCCCGUGAACCUUUACUAUAGCUUGACACUGAACAUUGAGCCUUGAUGUGUAGGAUAGGUGGGAGGCUUGGAAGUGUGGACGCCAGUCUGCAUGGAGCCGACCUUGAAAUACCACCCUUUAAUGUUUGAUGUUCUAACGUUGACCCGUAAUCCGGGUUGCGGACAGUGUCUGGUGGGUAGUUUGACUGGGGCGGUCUCCUCCUAAAGAGUAACGGAGGAGCACGAAGGUUGGCUAAUCCUGGUCGGACAUCAGGAGGUUAGUGCAAUGGCAUAAGCCAGCUUGACUGCGAGCGUGACGGCGCGAGCAGGUGCGAAAGCAGGUCAUAGUGAUCCGGGUGGUUCUGAAUGGAAGGGCCAUCGCUCAACGGAUAAAAGGUACUCCGGGGAUAACAGGCUGAUACCGCCCAAGAGUUCAUAUCGACGGCGGUGUUUGGCACCUCGAUGUCGGCUCAUCACAUCCUGGGGCUGAAGUAGGUCCCAAGGGUAUGGCUGUUCGCCAUUUAAAGUGGUACGCGAGCUGGGUUUAGAACGUCGUGAGACAGUUCGGUCCCUAUCUCGCCGUGGGCGCUGGAGAACUGAGGGGGGCUGCUCCUAGUACGAGAGGACCGGAGUGGACGCAUCACUGGUGUUCGGGUUGUCAUGCCAAUGGCACUGCCCGGUAGCUAAAUGCGGAAGAGAUAAGUGCUGAAAGCAUCUAAGCACGAAACUUGCCCCGAGAUGAGUUCUCCCUGACCCUUUAAGGGUCCUGAAGGAACGUUGAAGACGACGACGUUGAUAGGCCGGGUGUGUAAGCGCAGCGAUGCGUUGAGCUAACCGGUACUAAUGAACCGUGAGGCUUAACCUU